AUCAUCAGCACACACACACACACACAAACACCUCUCUCUUGUUUGGUCCCCCCUCAAACCUGUCCAGAGCACAUAACCCUGUACAAUUCAACGAACACUCAUACACAGAAAGAGAUACCGCAUAUAGAAGCACACCCUCUCCUUGUCAUCGUAUACCAGUUCAUACCAUACCACACACAUAUACCUUAGCCAGAUCCACAGAGCUGCAGCGGUUAGUCUGAAGAAAAACAAGACCAAAAUGGACAUGAUUAACGAAAGAAAUGUAAACUGAUGAUCCGAUCUGUAAAGGACAUAGACAAGAAGAUGUCUCAUCUCUCCUGGACAGACAGGUAACUGUGGCCUGAAAAAUCCAAACGAUCCUCAAUAAAAUGGCGGGCAGUGUACACUCAGCAACAUGGGCUAGAGUUGGAAAGAGGACCAUGUGGGCCAUAAUGUGAUAUCUGAGGAGAAAAAGGUUCUGUCCAUAAUCUCCCCUUCACUGUUUGUCCAAAAGGUGCAAUAUCCACUGACAGUUUUCCUAAUCAGAUUUCUUCACUGACUUCCACAGUAAAAGUGAAAAAAUGUGUUGUGGGAAUGAAGCUUGCACACACACAGUCACUUACCCUGACAAUCAGAUUUCUUCACUGACUUCCACAGUAAAAGUGAAAAAAAAGUGUUGUGGGAAUGAAGCUUGCACACACACAGUCACUCACCCUGACAAUUAAAGGAUAUAACAACUAUGGCUGCCUCACACAAACAGUGCUGUAUUGUAUGAAUUUUUAGGACACAGCCUGGUGUUUUAUAUGGUGCCCAUUUGCAUGGAGGCAUAGGAUAUC
Molecule: long non-coding RNA, 815 nt
Organism: Xiphias gladius (swordfish)
Lineage: Eukaryota; Metazoa; Chordata; Actinopteri; Istiophoriformes; Xiphiidae
Exons: 3
Source: RefSeq, a predicted model, not a curated record